RNAcentral lists this long non-coding RNA (3206 nucleotides) under Equus caballus (horse). Its description in RNAcentral is "lncRNA (ENSECAG00000052209.1)". Lineage: Eukaryota; Metazoa; Chordata; Mammalia; Perissodactyla; Equidae. The record is from RNAcentral.
AAACUGGUUAAUCAAAACCAAAUAGUUAAAAAGUGUGUAAAUUCAGUGCAUUGCCAAUUUAGCAAACUGGGUCAGCAAACCAUCUUGUUUCCUAGCCCUGAUUGGGUUCUUUCAGAUCUUAUUUUGAAAAUAAACUCAUAGUUCUUAUCAUUUGUUUUACAGAUAAGGAUACUAAAACGAGUAGUAAUUGUGAGUUAACUAAGGUCAUAGAGACACUUGACAAGAAUCCAAGAUUUCUAACAUCUGGUCUUAAUUUUUAAUUUUGUUAGAGGAUUCUAAUUUUAAAUGUCCUUUCCUAUAAAAACUAAAGGUUAUACUCCUCUGGUGGUCCAAACCACACUGUCUGCCUCAUCACUUUUUUCAUCAACUUUGUUGUCAAGAUACAGCGGAAAGACCAUUGCUCACAAGUGAGAAAAUUUCCACGUUGUUGAGAUUCUGUUGUUAACUAGUAGUUUUCUAUAGGUUAGUGUGAUGGUUAUCUACCUAUCAACCCUGCUGGAGCAGAAGUCUGCAUACUAAAUUCCACAGACUCUUUUGGCAGUAAAGCAUUAGAGAGAAAAGCAUAAGGGAAGUAUUAGAGGGAAAUGAGAAGGUGCAGAGAGGAGAGAAGAGACUUCUUUUCAGUUUUUGAUAGUGUGUUCCAGCAAGAGAAGACAGUUGCAGCUUUGUGAUCUGCCUUCUGUGGGACUUCUAGCACCAGCUUUGCUGCAGUUUCUCAGAGAGACAAAGACCAGGCAAUUAAAUCUCCUCAGUGGUUCCAAGCUCCAGCUUCAUAUCCCCGUCCCCCCAGUCAAGCUGUCUAAGCACCAACUGUGUAAAGGAUGAGUCUCCAAGCUCUUACUCUGUCUUCUACCAGCACUAAAGCUGUGUGUUGAGACUUCUCUGCUGGACUCUUGGACUUCCACAAAGGUGUUUUGGAAGAGUUCGCCUGUCAAGCCGGCAGAGCUGAAAGCAGUCUGCCUUCCUGCUGCUUGAGGGCAGCUUUUUUGGGCUUGAUGGCAAAAAUUCUCCAACAAAAAACACAAAAAGGCCUCCCUGCCAAGAUUGCAUCUAAGGCCUUCAAGGUGAUCAAUAUCUUAUCAGAGAAGUUGUUCCCAACAAACCCAAGAGCCUCAUUUCAACUUGGAUUGGACUUAGAUGGCAAGAUUUUGGACCUCAAGUUCUGGUUGAUGAGACUUUUGAGAAGUCUUAGAAAGGGAUUCAAAAUUAAAAUUUACUUUGCAUUUUAUGGGAUAGUUCAGUCUGCGAGUAUUAUAGGACUUUAAUUGACUAAAUGCCUCCCCUUUCUCAGAAGGCCAAACCACUUGCUUUGGAAAGAAGGAUCAUGAAAUAUAUGACGUGACUUUGCAUCACGUAAGAUGACAAGUUUUACAUCAUCUGGAUUCCUAAAUAUUUUUUUGUGGGAGAAAUGUGAAUAAUUUGUUGCCAGUGUGUAAUCUGUGACUGAUUUAUAACACAGCCUUUAAUUCUUUCAUACUCCUCCCAUCAAUAGAUGGGGAUCUUUCUUCUUUCCCCAAAAAUCUGGAUAGAUUUGUGGCUAUGGCAGGAGGGGCAUUAUUCAAUUUCUUUCUUGUUCUCUUGGUGCACACACAUUGACCAUGCUAUAAGGGAGCCAAGCAACCUACAUGAAGUGGUUGCGUGUACAUGUUCUAGGUGAUGACGACAGAGAAGAUUCCAGCUGACAGUCAGUGUCAACCACCAGACGUAGGGAAGAAGCUCCUGUAGUGACACCAGAGCCACCACCUACAGUAGCUGCAUGAGAUCCUAAGUCAAGAACCACCUAGCCGAGCCCAGUCAAUCAUCAGAACCGUGAGAAAUAAUAAUGAAAUAAACUAUUGCUGUUUUAAGCCACCAAGUUUUUGAGUUGUUAUGCAGCAAUAAUAACUAGAACACUAGAUGGUAGAUAAGACUUGAGCUUAAUUUAAAUAUGUUUUAAUAGCAAAAUAUGCUAAUUAUUCUUUACCAACAGUUUGCUUUUACCAAUAAUUUAUUUUAUUUUAAUAGAAUAUUAUUCUUCUUUGUAUAAGGGAGUCUUUGAUGAUAGAAUAUCAGGUAAUUACAGAAGUUAAUAAAAAUGGUUUUGGCAUGGUUGUUGAUCACCUUUGGAAAUCCAAGCCAUGUGGAACUUUGUCAUCUUACAUGUUGAUAAAUCAGUUCAUAUAUUGAAGGCUUCUUUGGAGGGUAAACUCUUAUAGUGAGGGGUGGGGGUUUACUCAGGGUGUUAUUAUGCUGCCAGGCUAAACUAUUCCAGAAUCUUUGAAUCUCUUUAUAUAUUUUGAAUCUCUUUAUAUACUAAAACAUACUGUGUUUAAAAAUGUUUCUUAGCAUUAUUAUUUUGACGCUUAGGUUCACUAGGAUAUUAUUUUCAGCAGUUGUUUAACUUGUCUCAUGUUUCUGAUAUAUCAGUUCUUUGGUUUUUCAGUUGUUUGAUCUCUGCCAAUUAAGAUGCCUAACUUCGCUUUGCUAGUGUGCUAGAAGGUCACCACUGCUUUGUGUUCAAAUAGCUCAUUCUGUAUUCCCUGAAACCUUUCCUUUCUUCUGUAAAUUGACUGUUAACAUGGAGUUUAUAAACCAUUUUAAUAACUAAAUCCACUGUUUAUCUUUGUGAAUUAAAUAUACUUUUAUGUGGGUAGAGAGGAUAGUAAGCUCCAGUUCAAAGAGGCUCAGGAUUUCACCUACAAAAUGUAUGUGGUUUUAAAACCUCAUUUAAGCUUUAUCUGGCAUUACAAGAGCUCAAAAUCCUAUACACUGUGUCAAGUAGAAAGUAAUGGAAUUUCAAUUUUGCUACAUAGAUUUCUUAGUGAUGCUUGAAGAGUUUGAUUUAACUAGAUAAAUGAAUUAAAGGGUUGAAAAAGCAAGUGCAAGGAAUGAAUUUUGUCUGUGUAUUUUGGGUUAUUUAAUAGAAACAUUUUGAUAGUAGUUAUAUACCUUUACUAGAGAUAGAAGAAGAAUUUGAUUUAAAUUCUGACAUGAUUCAUUAGAUACUGGAAAUAAUUUGCUGACAAGUAUUAAAUACAUUGGGAAUAAAGGUUGUGCAACAGCUUUCCCUGGAAGUUAGCAUUUUUGAUGGAAUUACACUGAUAAAAUCCUGAAUGGAAAGAACUGUAUAUGCUCAGAUAUCACUUAAGGAUUUCAACCAUUUUUGUUCAUAUUCCAUUGGAAAAUAUUUUGAAAUCUAUGCUUCCUUUUCCAUACAAUCAUGCCCU